Vicia faba (fava bean) is the source of this 276-nucleotide non-coding RNA. NCBI's taxonomy places the organism in Eukaryota, Viridiplantae, Streptophyta, Magnoliopsida, Fabales, Fabaceae. The record is from the annotation of a GenBank genome assembly.
AUGGCCGUCAUUUACGUGGAAUGGGAAACUCAUACCAAGGACCUCCAAAGCCAUGUUCAAAGCAGCCUUCCACAUGCAAUUCUGCAAAGGUUUAACACUCAGAAAGUAUCAAGUAAUCAAGGAUACAGUAUUCACUUGUGUCCGGUAUAUCUUAAGGUAUACCACAGGCCCCAGCAGAGAGGCUCUUCUUAUGGGAAACUCUACAUCUCCUCGUUCCCAUCCUCAUCUUCAUUAUAUCAAUUCUGCACAAUAGAAUAUUUAUUUUCUGCUUUUUGA